UACGUAGGGUGCGAGCGUUAAUCGGAAUUACUGGGCGUAAAGCGUGCGCAGGCGGUUCGUUAAGUCAGAUGUGAAAGCCCCGGGCUCAACCUGGGAACUGCAUUUGAAACUGGCGGGCUUGAGUAUGGCAGAGGGGGGUGGAAUUCCGCGUGUAGCAGUGAAAUGCGUAGAUAUGCGGAGGAACACCGAUGGCGAAGGCAAUCCCCUGGGCCUGUACUGACGCUCAUGCACGAAAGCGUGGGGAGCAAACAGG
RNAcentral lists this ribosomal RNA (253 nucleotides) under uncultured bacterium. RNAcentral describes it as "partial 16S ribosomal RNA". It matches the Rfam family "Bacterial small subunit ribosomal RNA", at positions 524 to 776 of the family's 1533-position model. The record is from RNAcentral.